This 100-nucleotide signal recognition particle RNA is filed under the name Clostridiales bacterium S5-A14a. RNAcentral describes it as "Bacterial small signal recognition particle RNA". It matches the Rfam family "Bacterial small signal recognition particle RNA". From Rfam's summary of the family: The signal recognition particle (SRP) is a universally conserved ribonucleoprotein involved in the co-translational targeting of proteins to membranes. Archaeal SRP consists of a 7S RNA and homologues of the eukaryotic SRP19 and SRP54 proteins. In most bacteria, the SRP consists of a 4.5S RNA and the Ffh protein (a homologue of the eukaryotic SRP54 protein). RNAcentral also lists the same sequence under 3 other names. The record is from Rfam by way of RNAcentral. Lineage: Bacteria; Bacillati; Bacillota; Clostridia; Peptostreptococcales; Anaerovoracaceae.
GUUUGGGUCCUGCGCAAUAAGACACCAUGAACCUUGUCAGGUCCGGAAGGAAGCAGCAAUAAGUGGAGGCUCUUAUGUGCCGCAGCUAAGCCUUCUCCAU